UAUUAAAAAAUUUAUCCAAUUGUUCUAUUAAAAAUUGGCGUAAUUGACAAAAUAAUCGAAUAGUAACAUAUGACGUGAGACGUUUAUCUUAUGCUGAUGUGACGUGAGACGUUUAUCUAAUGCUGAUGUACAAACACCCAUUUUUAACAGUCGAAAUGGAUGAAAUUUUUAACA
Molecule: microRNA precursor, 174 nt
Filed under: Gossypium arboreum
Lineage: Eukaryota; Viridiplantae; Streptophyta; Magnoliopsida; Malvales; Malvaceae
Description: MIR7502 microRNA precursor family
Rfam family: MIR7502 microRNA precursor family
Source: Rfam by way of RNAcentral